Armigeres subalbatus is the source of this 771-nucleotide long non-coding RNA. RefSeq lists it as uncharacterized. The transcript is spliced from 3 exons. The record is from RefSeq and is a predicted model, not a curated record. Lineage: Eukaryota; Metazoa; Arthropoda; Insecta; Diptera; Culicidae.
ACGGCCAUUCGGUCCGUUACAGUCGUGUAAAUAUUUAUAACAAAGCAAUUUGAAUUCAUGUAAUUAUAGAAAGUAGUUUAAUUAAUAUUUUCCUGUAAAUAGUAUAAAGCUAUGAAAUAAUUCCAUUCCAGUACACCGCGUUUCAAAAGCUCUUUUAUUCUCUCACGCUCGCAGAACGCGCAGAACGUUCUAGAUCAACGUGCCUACCAUGUGGCGAGCGCGUGUGAUUACGUCACGGGUCGGGUAGUGACCAUCCACCUGGGGAAAAUCCCAACAAAGCCUCUUUGAUAAUUUUCGGGAAAGAUCGGCAGGCAAAGUAGGCUGCGAUCCGAAUGGAUUAAUUGCUUCCUGCACUUCGAUCGUUAGGAGGGGGAAAUGCGAUCUAGGGACUUCGUGAGGUCAAAACCGAAGGCUAAGAAUUAGGACAAUCUUACAUUUAAUCUGAGGAUUCUUGACUGUGACUCGUUCACUUUGAUCUGGAUUGUGGAAGAGGCAGGAGUUGUCCGAUUUAGUUUCGCGUCGUGAGGUGAUAUUACAGUUAUAGCAAAGACAGUCGUUCACUAGUUCCUAGUUUAGCUAAAAACUGUGCUGGUUGAGGAAAGUGUGCGAGUGUGGAGCGACAAUCAGAAUCGUGGCCGGUGUGCUGAAAGCCCGUCACCUCACCCGUUUACCAGUGACCACUCCUGACCCCACUCUGCAGCUUCGAAGUUUCCCGGCGGUCCACUUUGCCGGAAGGGGCCGCGAUCGACAUUUUCGCGCCCAGGCAGGGCG